GACGAACGCUGGCGGCGUGCUUAACACAUGCAAGUCGAGCGGUAAGGCCCUUUCGGGGGUACACGAGCGGCGAACGGGUGAGUAACACGUGGGUGACCUGCCCUCAGCUCUGGGAUAAGCCUGGGAAACCGGGUCUAAUACUGGAUAUGACUCCAUGACGCAUGUUGUGGGGUGGAAAGCCUUGUGCGGCUGAGGAUGGGCCCGCGGCCUAUCAGCUUGUUGGUGGGGUGANGGCCUACCAAGGCGACGACGGGUAGCCGGCCUGAGAGGGCGACCGGCCACACUGGGACUGAGACACGGGCCCAGACUCCUACGGGAGGCAGCAGUGGGGAAUCUUGCGCAAUGGGCGAAAGCCUGACGCAGCGACGCCGCGUGAGGGAUGACGGCCUCGGUUGUAA
Molecule: ribosomal RNA, 398 nt
Filed under: uncultured bacterium
Lineage: Bacteria
Description: bacterial SSU rRNA
Rfam family: Bacterial small subunit ribosomal RNA
Source: RNAcentral